CUGUAUCGGAGCACAGCGGCGUGAGAUGUAGAAGGCUCUUACGGCUCGUGAACUUCUGUUUGUUGGAGAAGAACGUGCGUCAGAGUCACUGUUUACGCCGUGACCGUAUCCAACCAGAAAGUCCGGCUAAUACGUGCCAGCAGCCGCGGUAAU
RNAcentral lists this ribosomal RNA (153 nucleotides) under uncultured bacterium. Its description in RNAcentral is "partial 16S ribosomal RNA". The record is from RNAcentral.